CCUACGGGGGGCUGCAGUGGGGAAUAUUGGACAAUGGGGGGAACCCUGAUCCAGCCAUGCCGCGUGUGAAGAAGGCCCUCGGGUUGUAAAGCACUUUCAGUGAGGAAGAACGCCUGGUGGUUAAUACCCAUCAGGAAAGACAUCACUCACAGAAGAAGCACCGGCUAACUCCGUGCCAGCAGCCGCGGUAAUACGGAGGGUGCGAGCGUUAAUCGGAAUUACUGGGCGUAAAGCGCGCGUAGGUGGCUUGAUAAGCCGGUUGUGAAAGCCCCGGGCUCAACCUGGGAACGGCAUCCGGAACUGUCAAGCUAGAGUGCAGGAGAGGAAGGUAGAAUUCCCGGUGUAGCGGUGAAAUGCGUAGAGAUCGGGAGGAAUACCAGUGGCGAAGGCGGCCUUCUGGACUGACACUGACACUGAGGUGCGAAAGCGUGGGUAGCAAACAGGAUUAGAUACCCCUGUAGUC
This 463-nucleotide ribosomal RNA is filed under the name Vreelandella stevensii. RNAcentral's name for it is "partial 16S ribosomal RNA". It matches the Rfam family "Bacterial small subunit ribosomal RNA", at positions 338 to 795 of the family's 1533-position model. The record is from RNAcentral. Lineage: Bacteria; Pseudomonadati; Pseudomonadota; Gammaproteobacteria; Oceanospirillales; Halomonadaceae.